UGUUAUGUGGCUUAGUUGGUUAAAGCGCCGGUCCAGCGAAUACGGAGUCGUGGGUCCGAAUCUCACCAGAACGC
This is a non-coding RNA of Aedes albopictus (Asian tiger mosquito), 74 nucleotides long. The record is from Rfam. NCBI's taxonomy places the organism in Eukaryota, Metazoa, Arthropoda, Insecta, Diptera, Culicidae.